Molecule: long non-coding RNA, 582 nt
Organism: Patiria miniata (bat star)
Lineage: Eukaryota; Metazoa; Echinodermata; Asteroidea; Valvatida; Asterinidae
Exons: 2
Source: RefSeq, a predicted model, not a curated record
AUAAAAUAAACAGCAUGAGUUUGUCCAAAGCUGAUGUAAAAAUGAAGUUGAUUGGCCAAUGUUAAAGCCCGUCCAUUUCAGCCUAAAGUUUUUGCGCUAAUCAAAAGCGUUGUUUGAAACUGCAUUGGAACGUGUACGAUCAACAGAUGAUAAUCGACCUACUCCCAUCGUUGUGCUGCCAACUUGCUGUUUCUCUCCGAAUCCGAUGGAGUUAAGGACGAAGAAAAAGAUAGACUAUUGUGCCCUUGACAGAGGUGAGCCCAUCAAAGCUGUCGCGGAGAAGACGUGGCCAACAGCAAAAGCUGUGGACUGAUUUGAGACAAUAGACCGCCCAAUCAGAGGAAGUCAGAGCUGCCAUAUCUUUAGCCACAUUUAUCUCAUUGCCAGAGCUUACUUUUGCCACCAAAUUCGAACUAUUUUAUGUUAAAAAUCAUGUAUAUGAAUGUACAUGUACGUAUGUUAGUUGUUCCUGAUAGCCAUUGUAAUUGUAUUGUGUAUUUUGAUGUUUUUUAUUGUAUAUUAUAAUUGUCUUUUAUCCAUACGCCUUGUUUGACGUGUGUGAAAUAAAAUAAAACAGGAAUA